Long non-coding RNA from Phyllopteryx taeniolatus (common seadragon), 2073 nucleotides. RefSeq lists it as uncharacterized. The record is from RefSeq and is a predicted model, not a curated record. The transcript is spliced from 3 exons. Lineage: Eukaryota; Metazoa; Chordata; Actinopteri; Syngnathiformes; Syngnathidae.
GCUCCGCCCCACUGGUAGUAAUUUGAAACAUGGUACAAGUUUGUGUGAAUGUGGAGAAGAGGAGGAGCGUGUUGAACAUGUUAUUUGUUAUUGUCAAAGGUAUGAAAUAAGCAGAGGGAGGCUAAGAGAGAAAAGUGGGGUUCCGGUAUUUAAUCUGAGACAUGUACAGAAGAAAUUUCAGUUUUUAAAUGAAACAGGAUUGAUAAAGAGUAUCUAGUUUAAAUUUUAUUUGUUUUGUUAUGUAUUAUUUUUGCUCCCUAGUACUGUACAUAUGAUAUGUAUAGACGUACUCCGAUCCACCCUCCAGCACAGUAGGUGGCGAUAUUGCAUCUUCGACGUUUGAUGCCACCCGCCAACAAACAAAAAGAAGAAGAGGAAGCUAACACUGAGAGCUAGCUAAACUGCAUCUGUAGUAUAGCUCCUGAAUCGUAGUUUACAUUGUUUUUUGGGUUUUUUUCAACAAACUGGCUAAAAGAUGCCUCCCUCGACUGUGGAUGCACAGUUUAAUUCCACAACACUAAUUAAACCCUCCAACAAGGACAGAAAAUGGUGGAUUUUCUCUCGAUCAUGCUCCUCUGCCUCCCUCUCCAUCUCUUUACACCAUCCCUCCAUCCUUUUGGAUUCAUUGUGAAGAAGCUGCAUGAACCAGCCGCCAUCCCUGCGAAGAGGAGACACUCGACCCAUCUCGCUGGCCUCCAGGCUAGGUUCAGCCAGCCAGGGUUCAGGCUGCGGGCUGGGGGCCCCACUGGAGGCCCGAUAGUCCUCUCUGUAGCUAAACAGGCCCUGGGUGCGCACUGUGCGGAUGGCCCCGUACUGCGUGGGCGUGCUGGGCUCAGAGUGGCGACCAAAAGCGCCACCGAACUGCAGACCCUUGUCUUCCAUGGAAGGGAAGCCCUCCAACUCCAUGUCGGCUUGCACUGCAGUGGUAACACUGUUGGAGCGCUUGACCCGCCCACGCCUAAACGUGCACGGGUCAUCUGAUUAAUGUUGGCGUACAAAUCCAGGACGAGGUGAAGAGACAACAUCACAGUUAUGAAAAUGUAAUGAAAAGGCAAGUGCCUCGUACCUUUUGUGAUCCUCCACCUGGAUACCUAUAGAGUGAAACUGCGGAAGGCCCUUGCUUUCAGUCUCGGAAUCUGUCACAGUUUCCACCUGUUGAAGAGAUGGCACAACUUGACAUUCAAAUUGAAAUAUAAUCAAACUUGUCACAAACUCCGAAGAGAAGCUUGAACUUUUCCACAUGCAUUCUUCUGCUGCGUCAUGACUCUCUUUAGGUACGAAUUCCUUGCAGGGCCUCUGAGUGGUGCUUUACAGUACAGUACAGUGUGUGCACAGCGACAUUGGCAUUGUUGAACCUGUUCAGAAUUGUUUGCACUAGCUGUUUGUAAAUACAACUGCUCGGAAUCUCGUAGCUUGUAUUUUACCUGUUUCAUAUUUGGAUGGAUUUAUAUUGUUAUACUGGUCACAUGGGUUUGUGUCUACAUUAAAUGAUGUGCAAAAUAUAGGGAUCAUUUUGAAAAGACAUUUGUUGUGCUAAGUCUGUCCAAAAACCAUUUUUUAUGACGUGUUCUUAUGUAAUUCAACUUCCACGAUUGUCAUUGGACAGUAGUGAAAAGAAGAUAAUAACUAAGAUUCAAUAAAAAGCAAUCCCUAAAUCUCUAAGACUACUUAGAUAUCAACCCUAUGGUAACGCACAGAAAAGUUGGAGUUACUGGAGACUAGACAUGGGAGUAAUAAUCAAUUAAUUUCUCAUUCAAAAUUCUGUCAGUUGUCUGGAAUGGAUUGUUGAGUCAUCUCAUCUUGAACCAGCUGUAGCAAAAUGCGGUGUAAUACUUGUAUGUAACCAGCAGCGGCGCUGUUGAGUUAGUCUAGUUUGUCGUCCAAGCAAAUCAACAUAAAGUUAGUUACAGGAAGUUGAGCGAUGUCCAUGCUGACCCCUGCUCUUGGCAAAAUUAUUCUGUUCCAUACCACAUUGGCAUGGAAACAGGGGUUCUGACCAAAACCCAUUACUAACAAUCGAUAAGAUAAAUUAAAAUUGCUUGAUCGACAAUGGUUAUUGUAUACCUAGCCCUA